CGAGCGUGGUCGGGAGAGCGCACCGGGAAGCACAUGCCGGGGCCGCCGAAGGGGUAAUACCCACAAACUCUCAGGCAUCAAGGACCGUCCACGCCGA
Molecule: non-coding RNA, 97 nt
Filed under: Pandoraea pnomenusa
Lineage: Bacteria; Pseudomonadati; Pseudomonadota; Betaproteobacteria; Burkholderiales; Burkholderiaceae
Description: Glycine sequence
Rfam family: Glycine riboswitch aptamer
About the family: This family represents the bacterial glycine riboswitch. Glycine riboswitches usually consist of two metabolite-binding aptamers domains with similar structures in tandem.
Source: Rfam by way of RNAcentral